RNAcentral lists this ribosomal RNA (254 nucleotides) under uncultured bacterium. RNAcentral describes it as "partial 16S ribosomal RNA". It matches the Rfam family "Bacterial small subunit ribosomal RNA", at positions 524 to 776 of the family's 1533-position model. The record is from RNAcentral.
CACGUAGGCACCAAGCGUUGUCCGGAUUUAUUGGGCGUAAAGAGCUCGUAGGCGGUUCGGUGAGUCGGGUGUGAAAACUCUGGGCUCAACUCAGAGACGCCACCCGAUACUGCUGUGACUUGAGUCUGGUAGGGGAGUGUGGAAUUCCCAGUGUAGCGGUGAAAUGCGCAGAUAUUGGGAGGAACACCAGUGGCGAAGGCGGCACUCUGGGCCAGUACUGACACUGAGGAGCGAAAGCGUGGGUAGCGAACAGG